AUAUACGGGGGAGACUCUUCU
RNAcentral lists this microRNA (21 nucleotides) under Callithrix jacchus (white-tufted-ear marmoset). RNAcentral's name for it is "cja-miR-1185". Lineage: Eukaryota; Metazoa; Chordata; Mammalia; Primates; Cebidae. The record is from miRBase by way of RNAcentral.